CGCCCCUGUGCCGCCUUCGCCAUAUUACCGGAGGGGUUGGGUCACGUGACCACGCUGACCUGGGAGCCGCGACCGGUCGGCGCGGUCACUUGUCCCCCGGUCACCGACCGCACCGCAGCGCCACGUCCACCGACUCUACUGCACCGCUACCAGCUACGUAACUGAGACUGUUCCUGGCCACUCGUUCGUGCCAUGCCGACCACUCGAGGCGGCAGAGGAAGACGAUUU
Long non-coding RNA from Amphibalanus amphitrite, 228 nucleotides. RefSeq lists it as uncharacterized. The transcript is spliced from 2 exons. NCBI's taxonomy places the organism in Eukaryota, Metazoa, Arthropoda, Thecostraca, Balanomorpha, Balanidae. The record is from RefSeq and is a predicted model, not a curated record.